RNAcentral lists this ribosomal RNA (460 nucleotides) under uncultured bacterium. RNAcentral's name for it is "partial 16S ribosomal RNA". It matches the Rfam family "Bacterial small subunit ribosomal RNA", at positions 338 to 795 of the family's 1533-position model. The record is from RNAcentral.
CCUACGGGUGGCAGCAGUGAGGAAUAUUGGUCAAUGGACGCAAGUCUGAACCAGCCAUGCCGCGUGCAGGAAGACGGCUCUAUGAGUUGUAAACUGCUUUUGUACGAGGGUAAACGCAGAUACGCGUAUCUGUCUGAAAGUAUCGUACGAAUAAGGAUCGGCUAACUCCGUGCCAGCAGCCGCGGUAAUACGGAGGAUUCAAGCGUUAUCCGGAUUUAUUGGGUUUAAAGGGUGCGUAGGCGGUCGGAUAAGUUAGGGGUGAAAGCCCGAGGCUCAACUUCGGAAUUGCCUGUGAUACUGUUCGGCUAGAGUGUAGUUGCGGUAGGCGGAAUGUAUGGUGUAGCGGUGAAAUGCUUAGAGAUCAUACAGAACACCGAUUGCGAAGGCAGCUUACCAAGCUACUUCUGACGUUGAGGCACGAAAGCGUGGGGAGCAAACAGGAUUAGAUACCCUGGUAGUC